RNAcentral lists this ribosomal RNA (497 nucleotides) under uncultured bacterium. RNAcentral's name for it is "partial 16S ribosomal RNA". It matches the Rfam family "Bacterial small subunit ribosomal RNA", at positions 28 to 507 of the family's 1533-position model. The record is from RNAcentral.
GAUGAACGCUGGCGGCGUGCCUAAUACAUGCAAGUCGAGCGAACGGACGAGAAGCUUGCUUCUCUGAUGUUAGCGGCGGACGGGUGAGUAACACGUGGAUAACCUACCUAUAAGACUGGGAUAACUUCGGGAAACCGGAGCUAAUACCGGAUAAUAUUUUGAACCGCAUGGUUCAAAAGUGAAAGACGGUCUUGCUGUCACUUAUAGAUGGAUCCGUGCUGCAUUAGCUAGUUGGUAAGGUAACGGCUUACCAAGGCAACGAUGCAUAGCCGACCUGAGAGGGUGAUCGGCCACACUGGAACUGGGACACGGUCCAGACUCCUACGAGAGGCAGCAGUAGGGAAUCUUCCGCAAUGGGCGAAAGCCUGACGGAGCAACGCCGCGUGAGUGAUAAAGGUCUUCGGAUCGUAAAACUCUGUUAUUAGGGAAGAACAUAUGUGUAAGUAACUGUGCACAUCUUGACGGUACCUAAUCAGAAAGCCACGGCUAACUACGUG